AUUGAACGCUGGCGGCAUGCCUUACACAUGCAAGUCGAACGGCAGCACGGGAGCAAUCCUGGUGGCGAGUGGCGAACGGGUGAGUAAUAUAUCGGAACGUGCCCGGUCGUGGGGAUAACGUAGCGAAAGCUACGCUAAUACCGCAUACGAUCUACGGAUGAAAGCGGGGGAUCGCAAGACCUCGCGCGAUUGGAGCGGCCGAUAUCAGAUUAGGUAGUUGGUGAGGUAAAGGCUCACCAAGCCGACGAUCUGUAGCUGGUCUGAGAGGACGACCAGCCACACUGGGACUGAGACACGGCCCAGACUCCUACGGGAGGCAGCAGUGGGGAAUUUUGGACAAUGGGCGCAAGCCUGAUCCAGCAAUGCCGCGUGCAGGAUGAAGGCCUUCGGUUGUAACUAGCUUUGUUACGGUACGAAACGGUGAGCUCUAAUACAGUUUGUCUAAUGUACGGUACCGUAAG
Molecule: ribosomal RNA, 461 nt
Filed under: uncultured bacterium
Lineage: Bacteria
Description: bacterial SSU rRNA
Rfam family: Bacterial small subunit ribosomal RNA
Source: RNAcentral